Molecule: microRNA, 20 nt
Filed under: Homo sapiens (human)
Lineage: Eukaryota; Metazoa; Chordata; Mammalia; Primates; Hominidae
Description: hsa-miR-6073
Source: miRBase by way of RNAcentral
GGUAGUGAGUUAUCAGCUAC